Carcharodon carcharias (great white shark) is the source of this 462-nucleotide non-coding RNA. The record is from the annotation of a RefSeq genome assembly. NCBI's taxonomy places the organism in Eukaryota, Metazoa, Chordata, Chondrichthyes, Lamniformes, Lamnidae.
AUGUGGAAGGUGGGGCGUGGAUCCAGUCGCCGCCUCUACCAGGGAAUCAACAGGCGGCGCCUGGAAACCCGCCCCCUUCUGCCGGGUGUCCAGUCGGAUGUUGUGUUGACUCAGCCAGAGGCAGAGACCGGGCGUCCCGGAGGCACCCUGAGACUGACCUGUAAAACCAGCGGCUUCGAUCUUGACAGCUACGGCAUGAUCUGGGUCCGACAGGUUCCCGGACAAGGGCUGGAGUGGCUGGUUUACUACUAUAGUCCAUCGGACAACAGCUAUGCCCCAGCAAUUAAGAAUCGAUUCACUGCGUCCAAAGACACUUCAAGGAGCAUUUUCUCCUUGGACAUGACGAACCUGAAGACUGAAGACACCGCCAUCUAUUACUGUGCAAGAGAGUCACAGCGAGAGGAACCAGGGCUGGACCCGAACAAGAACAGAUCGAGAGGGACUCAACAACUUCCAUCGUAA